CCUACGGGUGGCAGCAGUGGGGAAUAUUGGGCAAUGGGCGCAAGCCUGACCCAGCAACGCCGCGUGAAGGAAGAAGGCUUUCGGGUUGUAAACUUCUUUUGUCAGGGAAGAGUAGAAGACGGUACCUGACGAAUAAGCCACGGCUAACUACGUGCCAGCAGCCGCGGUAAUACGUAGGUGGCAAGCGUUGUCCGGAUUUACUGGGUGUAAAGGGCGUGUAGCCGGGUUGACAAGUCAGAUGUGAAAUCCUGCGGCUUAACCGCAGAACUGCAUUUGAAACUGUAGUUCUUGAGUACUGGAGAGGCAGACGGAAUUCCUAGUGUAGCGGUGAAAUGCGUAGAUAUUAGGAGGAACACCAGUGGCGAAGGCGGUCUGCUGGACAGCAACUGACGCUGAGGCGCGAAAGCGUGGGGAGCAAACAGGAUUAGAUACCCCAGUAGUC
Molecule: ribosomal RNA, 442 nt
Filed under: uncultured bacterium
Lineage: Bacteria
Description: partial 16S ribosomal RNA
Rfam family: Bacterial small subunit ribosomal RNA
Source: RNAcentral